GAUGAACGCUGGCGGCGUGCCUAAUACAUGCAAGUCGAGCGAACAGACGAGAAGCUUGCUCCUCUGAUGUUAGCGGCGGACGGGUGAGUAACACGUGGAUAACCUACCUAUAAGACUGGGAUAACUUCGGGAAACCGGAGCUAAUACCGGAUAACAUUUUGAACCGCAUGGUUCAACAGUGAAAGACGGUCUUGCUGUCACUUAUAGAUGGAUCCGCGCUGCAUUAGCUAGUUGGUAAGGUAACGGCUUACCAAGGCAACGAUGCGUAGCCGACCUGAGAGGGUGAUCGGCCACACUGGAACUGAGACACGGUCCAGACUCCUACGGGAGGCAGCAGUAGGGAAUCUUCCGCAAUGGGCGAAAGCCUGACGGAGCAACGCCGCGUGAGUGAAGAAGGUCUUCGGAUCGUAAAACUCUGUUAUUAGGGAAGAACAAAUGUGUAAGUAACUAUGCACAUCUUGACGGUACCUAAUCAGAAAGCCACGGCUAACUACGUG
Molecule: ribosomal RNA, 497 nt
Filed under: uncultured bacterium
Lineage: Bacteria
Description: partial 16S ribosomal RNA
Rfam family: Bacterial small subunit ribosomal RNA
Source: RNAcentral